This 385-nucleotide long non-coding RNA is filed under the name Homo sapiens (human). RNAcentral describes it as "HSALNT0035534". Lineage: Eukaryota; Metazoa; Chordata; Mammalia; Primates; Hominidae. The record is from RNAcentral.
CUCAUUCCAUUCCAUCCCAUUCCAUUCCAUUCCAUUCCAUUCCAUUCCAUUCCAUUCCAUUCCAUUCCAUUCCAUUCCAUUCGUGUUGAUUCCAUUCCAUUCCAUUCCAUUCUAUUGCAUUCCAUUCCAUUUCAUUCCAUUCCGUUGCAUUCCAUUCCAUUCUAUUCCAUUCCAUUCCACUCGGGUUGAUUCCAUUCCAUUGCAUUUCCUUUCUUCCAUUCCAUUCCAUUCCACUCGUGAUGAUAAAAUUCCAUUCCACUCCCUUCCAUUCCAUUGCAUUCCAUUCCUUUCAACUCGGGUUGAUUCCAUUCCAUUCCAUUCCAUUUCCUUCUAUUCCAUUCCUUUCCACUCGGGUUGAUUCCAUUCCAAUUCAUUCCAUUCCAUU